GUUCAGUUUAACUUUAUUUCAUAAAUUUUAAAAUUAAAAUCAAUGGAUUUCAUGGAUUUGAAAAAAUUGGUUUUCUUUACAACAGAUGGUGCAUUUGCUAUGAUUGGGAGUAAAUUAGGAUUUGUUUCCCUUCUAAAAAAAGCAGGAUAGUGUGCUAACUAAUCUGCCUUCUUUCCAUUGCAUCUUGCAUGAGGAAAACUUGUGUGCAACAAUCGCUGGCAAUAAUACACUACAAAUUAUGAUGAAUACAGUGGUAAAGAUUAUCAAUUAUAAACAAAGUGGUAGUUCUCUCAUUCACCGACAGUUUGUUAAAGCUUUGAAGGAAUGUGGUGGUUAUGAUUUUGAAGAUCUUACUGACUUUACAAAUACACAAUGGCUGAACAGAGGGAAGGUAUUUGAAAAAUUUAUUAAUUUGAGGUAUAAAUUUUUGGACAUUGAAAAGCCUUCCUGGAUGUGCAGUUUACUUUUCUAUAUGAUAUCAUGUCACAUUUAAAUUUAAAACUCCAAGAAAAAGAAAAAUUAAUAGGUGAGCAGGCACAGAAUAUUCAAAAAUUUAUAUUAAAAUUCAAUCUUUUUCUGCUAUAAAUGCAGAGAGAUGAUUUAAUCCAUUUUGUAAAGUUAAGUAGGUUUUUCAAAACAAACAAGAAC
RNAcentral lists this long non-coding RNA (648 nucleotides) under Androctonus crassicauda. The record is from RNAcentral. Lineage: Eukaryota; Metazoa; Arthropoda; Arachnida; Scorpiones; Buthidae.